This 496-nucleotide ribosomal RNA is filed under the name uncultured bacterium. RNAcentral describes it as "partial 16S ribosomal RNA". It matches the Rfam family "Bacterial small subunit ribosomal RNA", at positions 29 to 507 of the family's 1533-position model. The record is from RNAcentral.
AUGCACGCUGGCGGCGUGCCUCAUACAUGCAAGUCGCGCGAACAGACGAGGAGCUUGCUCCUCUGACGUUAGCGGCGGACGGGUGAGUAACACGUGGAUAACCUACCUAUAAGACUGGGAUAACUUCGGGAAACCGGAGCUAAUACCGGAUAACAUGUUGAACCGCAUGGUUCAACAGUGAAAGACGGUCUUGCUGUCACUUAUAGAUGGAUCCGCGCCGCAUUAGCUAGUUGGUAAGGUAACGGCUUACCAAGGCAACGAUGCGUAGCCGACCUGAGAGGGUGAUCGGCCACACUGGAACUGAGACACGGUCCAGACUCCUACGGGAGGCAGCAGUAGGGAAUCUUCCGCAAUGGGCGAAAGCCUGACGGAGCAACGCCGCGUGAGUGAAGAAGGUCUUCGGAUCGUAAAACUCUGUUAUUAGGGAAGAACAAAUGUGUAAGUAACUAUGCACGUCUUGACGGUACCUAAUCAGAAAGCCACGGCUAACUACGUG